CCUACGGGUGGCUGCAGUGGGGAAUAUUGGACAAUGGGCGAAAGCCUGAUCCAGCCAUGCCGCGUGUGUGAAGAAGGCCUUCGGGUUGUAAAGCACUUUCAGUGGGGAAGAAAGCCUUGGGGCUAAUACCCUCGAGGAAGGACAUCACCCACAGAAGAAGCACCGGCUAACUCCGUGCCAGCAGCCGCGGAAUACGGAGGGUGCGAGCGUUAAUCGGAAUUACUGGGCGUAAAGCGCGCGUAGGCGGUCUGAUAAGCCGGUUGUGAAAGCCCCGGGCUCAACCUGGGAACGGCAUCCGGAACUGUCAGGCUAGAGUGCAGGAGAGGAAGGUAGAAUUCCCGGUGUAGCAGUGAAAUGCGUAGAGAUCGGGAGGAAUACCAGUGGCGAAGGCGGCCUUCUGGACUGACACUGACGCUGAGGUGCGAAAGCGUGGGUAGCAAACAGGAUUAGAUACCCCGGUAGUC
This 464-nucleotide ribosomal RNA is filed under the name Vreelandella stevensii. Its description in RNAcentral is "partial 16S ribosomal RNA". It matches the Rfam family "Bacterial small subunit ribosomal RNA", at positions 338 to 795 of the family's 1533-position model. The record is from RNAcentral. Lineage: Bacteria; Pseudomonadati; Pseudomonadota; Gammaproteobacteria; Oceanospirillales; Halomonadaceae.